GAUGAACGCUGGCGGCGUGCCUAACACAUGCAAGUCGAACGGAGUUAUGAAGUUUUCGGACGGAUUAACUUAGUGGCGGACGGGUGAGUAACGCGUGGGUAACCUGCCUCAUACAGGGGGAUAACAGUUGGAAACGACUGCUAAAACCGCAUAACAUUGCGAUGCCGCAUGGCGAUGCAAUUAAAUAUUUAUAGGUAUGAGAUGGGCCCGCGUCUGAUUAGCUAGUUGGUGAGGUAAUGGCUCACCGAGGCGACGAUCAGUAGCCGGCUUGAGAGAGUGACCGGCCACAUUGGGACUGAGACACGGCCCAAACUCCUACGGGAGGCAGCAGUGGGGAAUAUUGCACAAUGGGCGAAAGCCUGAUGCAGCGACGCCGCGUGAGUGAAGAAGUAUUUCGGUAUGUAAAGCUCUAUCAGCAGGGAAGAUAAUGACGGUACCUGACUAAGAAGCCCCGGCUAACUACGUGCCAGCAGCCGCCGUAA
Molecule: ribosomal RNA, 482 nt
Filed under: uncultured bacterium
Lineage: Bacteria
Description: partial 16S ribosomal RNA
Rfam family: Bacterial small subunit ribosomal RNA
Source: RNAcentral